This 264-nucleotide long non-coding RNA is filed under the name Homo sapiens (human). RNAcentral's name for it is "HSALNT0405198". The record is from RNAcentral. Lineage: Eukaryota; Metazoa; Chordata; Mammalia; Primates; Hominidae.
UUUUUUUUGAGAUGGUGUCUCUCUCUGUCGCCCAGGCUGGAGUUCAAUGGUGCUAUCUUGGCUCACUGCAAGCUCCGCCUCCCGGGUUCACACCAUUCUCCUGCUUCAUACUCCCGAGUAGCUGGGACUACAGGCGCCCACCACCACACCCGGCUAAUUUUUUCGUUUUUUGGGUUUUUUUUUUUAGUAGAGACUGGGUUUCACUGUGUUAGCCAGGAUGGUCUCGAUCUCCUGACCUCGUGAUCUGCCCGCCUCAGCCUCCCA